Molecule: long non-coding RNA, 228 nt
Organism: Gigantopelta aegis
Lineage: Eukaryota; Metazoa; Mollusca; Gastropoda; Neomphalida; Peltospiridae
Exons: 4
Source: RefSeq, a predicted model, not a curated record
UUCAUCUGAUGACCAAGAGAUAUCCGAAGAUGUGAUUUCUAGUGAAGAUGAGUGGAAACCAGAGGAAACAAAUUCGGACGAAGAGCCAGUCAAAGGCUCAUAUGACAAGCAAAAGACCCAGAAAGAAAGAGCUUCGUUCCAAAGAUUACCUGAACAACGACAACCGAGAAAGCGGACACCAACACCAAGGCAAAGGAAUCAAAGAAACGAUAGCACAACUAAAAGAAA